UAGGGAAUCUUCGGCAAUGGACGAAAGUCUGACCGAGCAACGCCGCGUGAGUGAAGAAGGUUUUCGGAUCGUAAAACUCUGUUGUUAGAGAAGAACAAGGACGUUAGUAACUGAACGUCCCCUGACGGUAUCUAACCAGAAAGCCACGGCUAACUACGUGCCAGCAGCCGCGGUAAUACGUAGGUGGCAAGCGUUGUCCGGAUUUACUGGUCGUAAAGCGAGCGCAGGCGGUUUCUUAAGUCUGAUGUGAAAGCCCCCGGCUCAACCGGGGAGGGUCAUUGGAAACUGGGAGACUUGAGUGCAGAAGAGGAGAGUGGAAUUCCAUGUGUAGCGGUGAAAUGCGUAGAUAUAUGGAGGAACACCAGUGGCGAAGGCGGCUCUCUGGUCUGUAACUGACGCUGAGGCUCGAAAGCGUGGGGAGCAAACAGG
RNAcentral lists this ribosomal RNA (429 nucleotides) under Gemmatimonadota bacterium. Its description in RNAcentral is "Gemmatimonadetes bacterium partial 16S ribosomal RNA". It matches the Rfam family "Bacterial small subunit ribosomal RNA", at positions 355 to 776 of the family's 1533-position model. The record is from RNAcentral. Lineage: Bacteria; Pseudomonadati; Gemmatimonadota.